GACGAACGCUGGCGGCGUGCUUAACACAUGCAAGUCGAACGGAAAGGCCCUGCUUUUGUGGGGUGCUCGAGUGGCGAACGGGUGAGUAACACGUGAGUAACCUGCCCUUGACUUUGGGAUAACUUCAGGAAACUGGGGCUAAUACCGGAUAGGAGCUCCUGCUGCAUGGUGGGGGUUGGAAAGUUUCGGCGGUUGGGGAUGGACUCGCGGCUUAUCAGCUUGUUGGUGGGGUAGUGGCUUACCAAGGCUUUGACGGGUAGCCGGCCUGAGAGGGUGACCGGGCACAUGGGGACUGAGAUACGGACCAGACUCCUACGGGAGGCAGCAGUGGGGAAUAUUACACAAUGGGCGGAAGCCUGAUGCAGCAACGCCGCGUGCGGGAUGACGGCCUUCGGGUUGUAAACCGCUUUCGCCUGUGACGAAGCGUGAGUGACGGUAAUGGGUAAAGAAGCACCGGCUAACUACGUG
RNAcentral lists this ribosomal RNA (468 nucleotides) under uncultured bacterium. RNAcentral describes it as "partial 16S ribosomal RNA". It matches the Rfam family "Bacterial small subunit ribosomal RNA", at positions 28 to 507 of the family's 1533-position model. The record is from RNAcentral.